RNAcentral lists this ribosomal RNA (253 nucleotides) under uncultured bacterium. RNAcentral's name for it is "partial 16S ribosomal RNA". It matches the Rfam family "Bacterial small subunit ribosomal RNA", at positions 524 to 776 of the family's 1533-position model. The record is from RNAcentral.
UACAGAGGGGGCAAGCGUUGUUCGGAAUUACUGGGCGUAAAGGGCUCGUAGGCGGCCAACUAAGUCAGACGUGAAAUCCCUCGGCUUAACCGGGGAACUGCGUCUGAUACUGGAUGGCUUGAGAUUGGGAGAGGGAUGCGGAAUUCCAGGUGUAGCGGUGAAAUGCGUAGAUAUCUGGAGGAACACCGGUGGCGAAGGCGGCAUCCUGGACCAACACUGACGCUGAGGAGCGAAAGCCAGGGGAGCAAACGGG